Long non-coding RNA from Erinaceus europaeus (western European hedgehog), 970 nucleotides. RefSeq lists it as uncharacterized. The record is from RefSeq and is a predicted model, not a curated record. NCBI's taxonomy places the organism in Eukaryota, Metazoa, Chordata, Mammalia, Eulipotyphla, Erinaceidae. The transcript has 3 exons.
AUUCGCUACUCAUUUGAGGCCAACACCCCCAACUUCUCAUGAAGCAGGAUUAUUUUUUAAAGGAUGUAUUUAUUAAAUGACAGAAAGGAAGACCAGAGCACUCUGGUGAUCAUAAGCAAAGCCCACCCCUGACAGCGGAGCCCCCUCUGUUGCUGGCUGGAAGCAGGACUUGUGAAUUCUGCCAACAGCUGCCCAGUGAGAGGUUCUGUGAAGUGCAGCCACCCACCAGUCAGGACUAGGGCUGGGUACCGCCUGGUGCAGACCGCAGGGAAGCUGCAACAAAGCCGGGGCGGAGCCCUCCCUUUGUGGGAAGAGGAGCCAGGAAUGGGGCCGGCCAGGGAGCUGAGUCUGGAAGGAUGGAGAGGACUCCGCCUCAGAAGAGAAAGGCGGUGCAGACAACGGGAUGGAUGGAAGGCGUUAGGAAGGAACACUCCAGAAAGUUCAUCCGGAGAGUCGCUGGUGUGAGGCCAGCCACCAGGUUCCAGAUGCUACUGUGAUGCCAGCUGGACUUCCCUGGGAAGACGACCUCACCAAUGUGUCUUAGAGCCCCACCUCCCCAGAGCCCUUCUCCACUAGGGAAAGCGAGAGACAGGCUGGGAGUAUGGAUUGACCUGCCAAUGCCCACGUUCAGCAAGGAAGCAAUUACAGAAGCCAGACCUUCCACCUUCUGCACCCCAUAAUGACCCUGGGUCCAUACUCCCAGAGGGAUAAAGAAUAGGGAGGCUAUCAAUGGAGGGGAUGGGAUAUGGAGUUCUGGUGGUGGGAACUGUGUGAAAUUGUACCCCUUUUAUCCUAUGGUCUUGUCAGUAUUUCCAUUUUAUAAAUAAAAAUUUAAAAAAAAAGAAAGGAAAAAUCCAAACAUUGUAAAAGAAUGUAAAGUUAGAAAAGUAAAUCCCUUAUAAUCUCAGUCCACAGAUAACAUGAGAACCAGCAGCACAUGUCCCCUCCACCCCACAGCUGCUCUAGCCUU